This is a long non-coding RNA of Amblyraja radiata (thorny skate), 477 nucleotides long. RefSeq lists it as uncharacterized. The record is from RefSeq and is a predicted model, not a curated record. Lineage: Eukaryota; Metazoa; Chordata; Chondrichthyes; Rajiformes; Rajidae. The transcript is spliced from 3 exons.
CUGACGGCGAGAGGAGGAGGAGGAGCCCAGCGGCCUGGCCCGGCCCAUCCACAGAUGGACAAGGAACAAAGACAAAUUCACCAAGAUAAAAUGGCAGAGAGGGUAGCCCUGGAAAAACUGGUAUGGCCAAAUAUAUGGUCUUGGGAUGCUCUGGCAGAAAGGGAAUUCGUAUCUUCCUGGGUGAUGGAGUGGUGUGGGGCGGGCAUUCUGCUGGCAGCAAGCAUGAAGCUGGAGAGAACUUUGCCUCCUUCCUGAAGCACUUCCUGCUCCUAUGUCCCACCAGGAAGCCCAAGUCCUGGCAAAACUAAAAGAUCACAAACCUAUAAAGAUUAUUUUUUCUCUUUGGAAAUUUUACUUAUAAUUUAUGUAUAAUUUGUUUUUAUGAGUUUGUCUGAGGCUCUGUGCCUUUGCUGCUGCAAUUUUAAUUGUACCUGAAUCUCACCUCACCUCACCUCUGCAUUUGACAAUAAACUUGAC